GACGAACGCUGGCGGCGUGCUUAACACAUGCAAGUCGAACGGAAAGGCCCUGCUUUUGUGGGGUGCUCGAGUGGCGACCGGGUGAGUAACACGUGAGUACCCUGCCCUUGCCUUUGGGGUAACUUCAGGCAACUGGGGCUAAUCCCGGAUAGGAGCUCCUGCUGCAUGGUGGGGGUUGGUAAGUUUCGGCGGUUGGGGAUGGACUCGCGGCUUAUCAGCUUGUUGGUGGGGUAGUGGCUUAGCAUGGCUUUGACGGGUAGCCGGCCUGAGAGGGUGACCGGCCACAUUGGGACGGAGAUACGGCACAGACUCCUACGGGAGGCAGCAGUGGAGAAUAUUGCACUAGGGGCUGAGGCCUGAUGCAGCAACGCCGCGUGCGGGAUGACGGCCUGCGGGUUGUAAUCCGCUUUCGCCUUUGACGAAGCGUUAAUGACGGUAAUGGGUAAAGAAGCACCGGCUAACUACGUG
RNAcentral lists this ribosomal RNA (468 nucleotides) under uncultured bacterium. Its description in RNAcentral is "partial 16S ribosomal RNA". It matches the Rfam family "Bacterial small subunit ribosomal RNA", at positions 28 to 507 of the family's 1533-position model. The record is from RNAcentral.